This 380-nucleotide ribosomal RNA is filed under the name uncultured Cylindrospermum sp. RNAcentral's name for it is "bacterial SSU rRNA". It matches the Rfam family "Bacterial small subunit ribosomal RNA", at positions 376 to 770 of the family's 1533-position model. Lineage: Bacteria; Bacillati; Cyanobacteriota; Cyanophyceae; Nostocales; Nostocaceae. The record is from RNAcentral.
CGAAAGCCUGACGGAGCAAUACCGCGUGAGGGAGGAAGGCUCUUGGGUUGUAAACCUCUUUUCUCAGGGAAUAAUUCAAUGAAGGUACCUGAGGAAUAAGCAUCGGCUAACUCCGUGCCAGCAGCCGCGGUAAUACGGAGGAUGCAAGCGUUAUCCGGAAUGAUUGGGCGUAAAGCGUCCGCAGGUGGCCCUGUAAGUCUGCUGUCAAAGCGCAAGGCUUAACCUUGUAAAGGCAGUGGAAACUACAGAGCUAGAGUGCGUUCGGGGCAGAAGGAAUUCCUGGUGUAGCGGUGAAAUGCGUAGAUAUCAGGAAGAACACCGGUGGCGAAAGCGUUCUGCUAGGCCGCAACUGACACUGAGGGACGAAAGCUAGGGGAGCC